Copidosoma floridanum is the source of this 596-nucleotide unclassified non-coding RNA. Lineage: Eukaryota; Metazoa; Arthropoda; Insecta; Hymenoptera; Encyrtidae. The record is from RefSeq and is a predicted model, not a curated record.
ACGGCGGUCGGACAAUCGUCUCGGACUCUGACCUUUUUUCCAAUCUGCGAAUGUUAGCUGAUAUACAAAUAAAAAGAAAUAACACGGCCGGGCUGCAUUUGUAGGUGCGCAAUAUUUUCCCCAAGGGCGAGCCUCGCGUCCGUCUUGUGACUGUCGUAUGGGAAUCUUAGAACUUCUCAAGUGUUAGGGUGCAAAAGUAAGGUACUGGAGAGAUCGUCGCUGGAUUGUUUUGAAAUUUAAAUCAAAAUAAAAUUACGAUUAGAAAGUGCUGCGAUCGAACUUUUGUUUUCCUCAUCUUUGCCGAGUCUCAUUGUCCAUAACUACUUUGCUGCUUGGUCCUCUCAAUUUGCGUCGUCUUAAAUUUCAUCGUACCCUUUAACCACGAGACUCGCUUACAGUUAAGAAGAAGGAAGGUUGAGUUACUGUAACAAAAAAGAUUUGUUUUAACCGGCUGUCAAAAUGAGCGUAAUAAUAAGGCUGCAGAAUCUGGCUUGGUCCGCAAAUGCACUCGACAUCCGUCAGUUCUUCCGCGGCCUUAGCAUACCCGAAGGUGGCGUUCACAUCGUUGGUGGAGAACUGGGAGAUGCUUUCAUAGC